This is a long non-coding RNA of Uranotaenia lowii, 449 nucleotides long. RefSeq lists it as uncharacterized. The record is from RefSeq and is a predicted model, not a curated record. NCBI's taxonomy places the organism in Eukaryota, Metazoa, Arthropoda, Insecta, Diptera, Culicidae. The transcript has 3 exons.
UUCUGGUCAGCCGGUCGCGCCUUCAGAACGCCGACAAAAAUGUUGCGCGGGUACGUCGACGAGGUGAAUGCUGUUUCAACUAACCAGGUGCCGGCCCACUGGGAGUGAAAAAUAAAUCAGCACUUUUGUCGAGUCGGAAAACGCAGUCUCUCAGCUGUUCCGUUCAAUGCAUCCCGAAUUCCCCGGCCGUGGGGACCUCCCUUCUAACCAGCCACGGAAAAUUGACCAGAGAAUCGCAGUUUCCAGAAGAUUAACCUUGCCCCCUUUCCGGAUCGUUGGCCUCAAGAUGACUGCCAAUAAAUCCAAAUCGAUUCCAGCAGCAUAACGACAGUUCUAAGCAGACCAUUGUAAAUUGUGUUAUGAAUAUAGAAUGAAAAUUUGUGAUAGUUGUAAUUAAAAAAAAUAAAAUGUAAUUUAUUUAAAAAUAAAUUAUAUCUAGAUCUCGAAGA